AUUCCUCUAGUUCCUAACUGAGGGUAGACUCUAAGACCCAUUUCUUUUCCCCAGGAAAUCUGUGCUGCUCCUCAUCCCCUUUUCCUUCCAUAAAGAAAGAUAUGUGCUGAUGGUCUUCCCAAGAGAAAAUGAAUCCCAUGGAACUUAUCCCACGGUGAGAUGCGGCAACCAGGGCUCCAUGGAGAGGCUGCAUUUCAGGUUGUACAUCACUUUUGGCACCUUGUCCCUGAACAAAGGCAACCAAUCUUCAUUUUAAAUAUUCACCUAUCAGUUCCAGAAAACACAAAAGGUGGGAAUGGAAGUUUUAAUCCUGCUGUUGGAAAUAUGAGAAGAAAUGAAAGGAACUUCACAGAGCUUGGAGAGAAAAACCUUAAAGGAAUAAAAUUUAUUU
RNAcentral lists this long non-coding RNA (391 nucleotides) under Ornithorhynchus anatinus (platypus). RNAcentral's name for it is "lncRNA (ENSOANG00000039392.1)". Lineage: Eukaryota; Metazoa; Chordata; Mammalia; Monotremata; Ornithorhynchidae. The record is from RNAcentral.